UUGCCUCCCUUUUUUUUCCCCUUUUGCUCCCGUGCACCAUCAUAUUCAACAUGCAAGAUUUCAAUAGCGGGAAGGAUCAUACUUCAUGGGAUCCUUCAGAUAUCUACAAGAGUCGACAAUGAAUCAACGAGAGAGGAAGGUUUGUGAAGGUAGGGGCAGUCACGCUGCAAGACUCGAGAAGGGUGAACGUGAUAAUGUAAAUGGCUGUGUACCUGAUAAGGAAUUGAAGAGUAUUCUGCAUCAAAUGUCAUAAAUCGAAAUGGGUAUCUGUAAAUGUAAUCAUAUAUGUUCUUGAAGCCA
Cryptomeria japonica (Japanese cedar) is the source of this 300-nucleotide long non-coding RNA. RefSeq lists it as uncharacterized. Lineage: Eukaryota; Viridiplantae; Streptophyta; Pinopsida; Cupressales; Cupressaceae. The transcript is spliced from 2 exons. The record is from RefSeq and is a predicted model, not a curated record.